UGCGUAGGUGGUCUCGUAUGUCGGAUGUGAAAUCCCACUGCUCAACGGUGGAACAGCAUCGGAAACUGCGAGACUUGAGUGCAGGAGGGGAGAGCGGAAUACUUGGUGUAGCGGUGAAAUGCGUUGAUAUCAAGUAGAACACCGGUGGCGUAGGCGGCUCUCUGGAAUGCAACUGACACUGAGGCACGAAAGCUAGGGGAGCAAACAG
Molecule: ribosomal RNA, 208 nt
Filed under: uncultured bacterium
Lineage: Bacteria
Description: partial 16S ribosomal RNA
Rfam family: Bacterial small subunit ribosomal RNA
Source: RNAcentral